GGGAUGUAGCUCAGUCUGGUCAAGAGCGUGCGCCUCGGGCGCGCAAGGUCGCUGGUUCGAAUCUGAGCCAUCCCCU
This 76-nucleotide transfer RNA is filed under the name Corallococcus exiguus. RNAcentral's name for it is "tRNA-Pro". It matches the Rfam family "tRNA". From Rfam's summary of the family: Transfer RNA (tRNA) molecules are approximately 80 nucleotides in length. Their secondary structure includes four short double-helical elements and three loops (D, anti-codon, and T loops). Lineage: Bacteria; Pseudomonadati; Myxococcota; Myxococcia; Myxococcales; Myxococcaceae. The record is from RNAcentral.